Molecule: long non-coding RNA, 379 nt
Filed under: Manihot esculenta (cassava)
Lineage: Eukaryota; Viridiplantae; Streptophyta; Magnoliopsida; Malpighiales; Euphorbiaceae
Description: long non-coding RNA (MESC_LNC007972)
Source: RNAcentral
CAGGAGUUUGCUCAUUCACCAAGUUUUGAAGGGUUUGAAGCAAAAAGUGAGUUUGAGAGAGAGUUUGCAAGUUUGAGAAGAGGUGAUCCGUUUUCCCUUGGUCAGAGUGUUUAGCUUCUUGCUACAGGAGGUAAGUGAUGCUUUUGACCAUGGUUUUAUGUGUUUUGUGCAGGUUUUAUGGAAGUUAAGGGAGAGAGAUGCAUGGGUAAGGGAGAAGUAGUGUUUUUGAUGAGUUAUGCAUGUAUACAUGAUUCUGUGUUAUGUUUGUUUUGUUGUUUGGGGUUAUUAGCUAGUUUUGGACCCCUGUGAUCAUAUACUUAUGUAUAUGUGAGUUGAGGAGUUGGUAUAUGCAUAUUUGGAGUUGUUAAAGGGAAGGAGG